This 407-nucleotide ribosomal RNA is filed under the name uncultured organism. RNAcentral describes it as "bacterial LSU rRNA". It matches the Rfam family "Bacterial large subunit ribosomal RNA", at positions 2078 to 2485 of the family's 2925-position model. The record is from RNAcentral.
GGACAGAAAGACCCUAUGAAGCUUUACUGUAACUUGAGAUUGAAAUUGGACUUUAUUUGCGCAGUAUAGGUGGGAGGCUUUGAAGAUAUUCUUGAGGGAAUAUUGGAGCCAUCAGUGAGAUACCACUCUUGUAAUGUUAGAUUUCUAACUUUGUAUCAUUAUCUGGUCAAAGAACAGUUUCAGGCGGGCAGUUUGACUGGGGCGGUCGCCUCCUAAACGGUAACGGAGGCGCACAAAGGUUUCCUCUGAACGGGUAGAAAUCGUAUCUAGAGUGUAAAGGCAUAAGGAAGCUUGACUGUGAGACCUACAAGUCGAGCAGGGACGAAAGUCGGUCUUAGUGAUCUGACGGUGCUGAGUGGAAAGGCCGUCACUCAACGGAAAAAGUUACUCUAGGGAUAACAGGCUGA